Molecule: long non-coding RNA, 2900 nt
Organism: Clupea harengus (Atlantic herring)
Lineage: Eukaryota; Metazoa; Chordata; Actinopteri; Clupeiformes; Clupeidae
Source: Ensembl
GCGAAUAUAUUCAGCACCAAGGCCAGCGGUCAGAAACAGAUCGGUUAGUUCAAUAGCUUUUCACUUGAGACUACGGAAAGGGAUACUCCGCAGACCUAUGGAUAUUUGUAAACGCGAUCAGAUUUUCUUCUCAUUUCGUAAGGAAGGAAUCAACAAGAGGACCCGGAAUUGUUGGCAUGGCAACAGCACCCUUAAAGCAGCAAUAAGGAGUUCUGUUCCAAAACUAGCAAGCUAUCGCUAGAUAACUCCCUAAAGGCAUGCAAAGGCAUUUUUGCAGGGUAUUCCAGCCCGGUACACAGAACUACAUAGGGCAUAUCCUGGAUGGCCAGUGGGAAAGACGGAUGAACUAUCAUGAACUAUCAUGGAUGUGGUGAUUAACAUUAUCACAGAGCAACGGAUCUGAGGUUUAUAGAUCAGCUUCUGAAAACCUCAGUUAGGCCAAAGUAAACUUAUUGUAGCAGUGCCUUGUUAGACUGGCAUUAACGUUAUAUGAAGGGCUACUUAAAUCUAGAGGCCACUAAUACAUGUGAGUCCUGGGGUAGAGAAAUUAAGACACUAAAUUACAGAGAUGGUAGGCGCGCUGGAACCUCUUUCAUGCAAGGGGGGCUGUGGGCUCCAUAUAUAUCUAUGGUGGGCUCUACUAAAAUAUGUGACAUCACAGCAAUAUGAUAUUAGACAAGUAUUUAGAGGCAAUUUAGAAGCACUGAUUGAUUACUAGUUUGUUUUGAUUGCCAAAAUAGGUUAUCCUUUCACAGAAAUGUAUUUUCAUCACUAUGGAUUUAAGAAGAUAUCAAGACAACAGGCUGAAGUAUGGGCACAUGUAGUGAGUGGUCAGAGAUGAAGAGAAUCUCUUCAACUGAUAUAAUUCAAUUUAUUACAUUUUUAUUCAUAAUAUAAUAUAAUAUUCACUGGAUUGGAACAAUAACUGAAAAAGUAUGUGACAAUCUACAGAAGCAUCAUCCAUCCAACAACAGGUAAAAGCCCGGCUGAAUUGCUUUUCAACCGAAAGAUGAGAGGAAAGCUACCUGAACUGAUUGAAGUGUACACGGAUCAGGAUGUAUGUGACCGUGACCCUGAGCAAAAGGCUAAGUAGAGUAAGCUGUAUGCAGACACACGCAGAGGAGCGCAGCAGUCAGAAGCAGUCAGAGGGAAAGACCUUGUGACGGCAUGGAAAGACAGCUGGCGGGAGGGAAUAGACCCCAACGGGGCUGCCACGGGCUAGCUACCCAUGGUAGCGGGACCCAGCACGAACGGUGUAUGAGUCCCACCCACCAAUGGCUACGAAAAAUUAUAAGGAAAAAAUACCCCUUGAGUCAGCGAGAGCGGGGCGGAAGAUGACUCAUCGGCGGAUAACCCGGUUAUUGACAUAGGAACGGAACAGACUACGAGUUUGAUGAUACCCAAGCAUACCCAAGACUGCAACAGCUACAGCAGGACACAAGCUCCAGAGCUGCAUAUGUGGCUGGGCAAAGGUUACUUCCACUAGAGGCCUAAAAAUACAUCAGGGCAAGAAAGGGUGCCUAAAGAAGGGUCAACAGGGAUCUCGCAUCGACAGCUACUUUCUGAGAAGCAGGUCGAGUCAGUCGACUGAAGUUCAGCAGCAGGGCCAAAACCACAGUCUGCAGGACAUCAACAUCCCUGUCCCAGAAGAGGACGAACCUUGCACAGGAAACCAACCUGAACCCAGCCCAGCAAGACCUGCAGUGGAAAAGAAGAUCCAGGGGCGAAGGCCACUGAUCAAGUGGCCAAAAUCCUGCGAAAAGGCACUGUGGAUGGAGGUCAACACUGACCUCUGCAACAUCUUAGAGGGGCUCAAAGGCACCACCAGGAAGAAGCUGGAGAAAAUGGGAGAUCUUAUAUACAGCUAUGGAUCGGAAAGGUUUGGAGCAGUCGAAAGAAAGAGAUCUGAACCGACAAUCUCCACUAAGUCCAGGAGGCAGAAGGAAAUAGAUCGCCUAGUCAGAGAAAGGAGGCAGCUGAAGAAGCAGUGGAGGAAAGCCACGGAGGAGGAAAAGGAGGGUAUCAACGUCUUGCAGGAGGCCAUCCGGAGUAGACUUGUGACACUGAGAAGAGCGGAAAAUCUGGUAAAGAAGCGCAGAAGGAAGGAACAGACAAGAUCACGCUUCUACAAAGACCCCUUCAAAUUUGUGAAGAGUCUCUUUACAGCGGAGAAGAGUGGAAGCCUCUCAGUGUCAAAGGCAGACCUGGAAAAACAUCUGGAAAAGUCCUGUACAGAUGCCAAACGCCACGAAGAGGUUAUUCUCCCAUCUGAUAUGCCACCAAUCAACCCACCAGAGCACCAGCUAGAUAUCAGCCCACCCAGAUGGAGCGAAGUGGAGAAAACUGUGCGUAGAGCAAGGGCUGCUUCAGCCCCAGGUCCUAACGGAGUUCCAUACAGGCUCUACAAAAAUGCACCAGACGCCCUGCGAUUCCUCUGGAAGCUCAUGAGGGUGGUCUGGCAAAAGAAGGAGAUACCAACAUCCUGGCAGAGAGCUGGAGGAAUCCUUAUCCCAAAGGAAAAGGACUCAUCAGAAAUCGGCCAAUUCCGCCAGAUCAGCCUCCUAAACGUCGAGGGGAAGAUAUUCUUCAGUGUGGUCGCUCACAGACUGGCAGGAUACCUGCAAAGAAACCAUCUGAUUGACACAUCAAUCCAGAAAGCAGGCAUCUCUGGCUUCUCCGGUUGUCUGGAACAUGCGAGUACCAUCUGGCAUCAGAUCAAAGUUGCCAAGACGGAGGGAACAGAUCUUCACGUGGUGUUCCUGGAUCUCGCCAACGCCUUUGGCUCAGUCCCUCACAACCUCCUCUGGACCGCAUUUGACUUCUUCAGGGUCCCUGUAGCCCUAACAAGCCUUGUCAAGGCCUACUUCCAGGACGUGCAGGUGUGCCUAUCAACAGCAGAG